GACGAACGCUGGCGGCGUGCUUAACACAUGCAAGUCGAACGGAAAGGCGAUGCUCUUGUGGGGUUCUCGUGAGGCGAACGGGGGAGUAACACGUGAGUAACCUGUCCUUAACAUUGGGAUAACACUUGGAAAAAGGGGAUAAAACAGGAUAGGAUCUAUUGCUGCACGGUGGGGGAUGGAAAGUUACGGCGGUGGGGGCUGGAUUAGAGGGUUAUCAGCUUGUUGGUGUGGUAGUGGCUUACAAAGGCUUUGACGGGUAGCCGGCCUGAGAGGGUGACCGGCGACAUGGGGACUGAGGUACGGCGCAGUCGCCAACGGGAGGCAGCGGUGGGAAAUAUGACGCAGUGGGCGGAAGCCUGAUGCGGCAACCCCGCGUGCGUAAUGACGGCCUUCGGGGUGUAAACCGCUUUCGACUGUGACGAAGCGUUAGUGACGGUAAUGAGUAAAGAAGCACCGGCUAACUACGUG
Molecule: ribosomal RNA, 468 nt
Filed under: uncultured bacterium
Lineage: Bacteria
Description: partial 16S ribosomal RNA
Rfam family: Bacterial small subunit ribosomal RNA
Source: RNAcentral